AGGGUUUGAUCAUGGCUCAGAACGUACGCUGGCGGCACGCCUAACACAUGCAAGUCGAACGAAGUAGCAAUACUUAGUGGCAGACGGGUGAGUAACAUGUAGGUAUCUGCCCUUUGGCCUGGAAUAACACGAGGAAACUUGUGCUAAUACCGGAUAAGUCUUUACGGAGAAAGCUUUAUGCACCAUUGGAUGAGCCUGCACUUGAUUAGUUUGUUGGUGGGGUAAUGGCCUACCAAGACUGUGAUCAAUAGCUGAUUUGAGAGGAUGAUCAGCCACAUUGGGACUGAGACACGGCCCAAACUCCUACGGGAGGCAGCAGUGGGGAAUCUUGCACAAUGGAGGAAACUCUGAUGCAGCGAUGCCGCGUGAGUGAAGAAGGCCUUUGGGUUGUAAAGCUCUUUCGUCGGGGAAGAAAAUGACUGUACCCGAAUAAGAAGGUCCGGCUAACUUCGUGCCAGCAGCCGCGGUAAUACGAAGGGACCUAGCGUAGUUCGGAAUUACUGGGCCUAAAGAGUUCGUAGGUGGUUGAAAAAGUUGGUGGUGAAAUCCCAGAGCUUAACUCUGGAACUGCCAUCAAAACUUUUCAGCUAGAGUAUGAUAGAGGAAAGCAGAAUUUCUAGUGUAGAGGUGAAAUUCGUAGAUAUUAGAAAGAAUACCAAUUGCGAAGGCAGCUUUCUGGAUCAUUACUGACACUGAGGAACGAAAGCAUGGGUAGCGAAGAGGAUUAGAUACCCUCGUAGUCCAUGCCGUAAACGAUGUGUGUUAGACGUUGGAAAUUUAUUUUCAGUGUCGCAGCGAAAGCGAUAAACACACCGCCUGGGGAGUACGACCGCAAGGUUAAAACUCAAAUGAAUUGACGGGACCCGCACAAGUAGUGGAGCA
This 882-nucleotide ribosomal RNA is filed under the name uncultured bacterium. Its description in RNAcentral is "bacterial SSU rRNA". It matches the Rfam family "Bacterial small subunit ribosomal RNA", at positions 8 to 939 of the family's 1533-position model. The record is from RNAcentral.